UACGGAGGGUGCGAGCGUUGUCCGGAAUCACUGGGCGUAAAGGGCGCGUAGGCGGCGCGGUAAGCACGCGGUGAAAGCCCGGGGCUCAACCCCGGGUCGGCCGUGCGGACUGCCGCGCUGGAGCACUGUAGAGGCGGGCGGAAUUCCGGGUGUAGCGGUGGAAUGCGUAGAGAUCCGGAAGAACACCGGUGGCGAAGGCGGCCCGCUGGGCAGUGGCUGACGCUGAGGCGCGACAGCGUGGGGGGCAAACAGG
This 253-nucleotide ribosomal RNA is filed under the name uncultured bacterium. RNAcentral's name for it is "partial 16S ribosomal RNA". It matches the Rfam family "Bacterial small subunit ribosomal RNA", at positions 524 to 776 of the family's 1533-position model. The record is from RNAcentral.